UACGGGGGGGGCAAGCGUUGUUCGGAAUUACUGGGCGUAAAGCGCACGUAGGUGGCGACGUAAGUCGGGUGUGAAAGCCCCGGGCUCAACCUGGGAAUUGCAUUCGAGACUGCAUUGCUGGAGUACGGAAGAGGAAGGCGGAAUUCCCGGUGUAGCGGUGAAAUGCGUAGAUAUCGUAAGGAAGACCAGUGGCGAAGGCGGGUCUCUGGACAGUUCCUGACGCUGAGGCACGAAAGCCAGGGGAGCGAACGGG
This 253-nucleotide ribosomal RNA is filed under the name uncultured bacterium. RNAcentral's name for it is "partial 16S ribosomal RNA". It matches the Rfam family "Bacterial small subunit ribosomal RNA", at positions 524 to 776 of the family's 1533-position model. The record is from RNAcentral.